GGGUGGUUUGAAGAGGAAAGCGCUCCGGUUCCUCUUUCCGGGAGGAUCGCCGGCAAAUCUCCUCCCCCUUCCGGUCGCCUCUUCACCGCCGCCGGACGCCACAGUUUCCGACCGCCGGUGACGUCUUUCGGAACCGUUCGAUUCUGUGAAUAGUUUAUAUCAAGACCAAAUCACCACGGAGACCGAGCUCUAGCCGCCGUGAAGAGUCCAGCCCACUCGCAUCCUUUGUCAAAACGUCGUCCAUUCCGUGCCGUUCCCGAACCUGGUAGGUCCACGCUUUCAUUUUGCUCUGUUUUGGACCCCUUCCCCCGCCUCUCGGGAGCCAGACACACCGAAACUGUUCGGUGCUUGUCUAGCUCCGCCCAUGGAGGAUAACGUUCGUUUGACACUCAAAGAAGCUACUUUUAAAUGUUUCACACCGAGAAUAGGUCAUGAGUUUUGUCAAAAUCAAACCCGUCUCUUCAUUUUUCGGCCGCACCUCACAUGUUUGACAAAAUGUCUCAACGAAACUGUUUAAAGCUUAAAACGUCGAAUCUGGUCGUGUAGUUAUUUAGCAUUUCUUUGCAAACUGAGAUGAACUUGUGAUGAGACAUGGCCGUUUAGAUCCUUACAGUUCAUGUUUGAGCCGAAAAUCGCGGCAAAUCUCAAUCUUAAGCCCCUGUUUGAACUUGCGCGCCAUCUGUUUGAUAAAAUGUCUGAGUGAAGGCCGAAACUGAAAAAACACGAAAUCAAUCUAUAGAAUCUUCGAUUUAUGUUUUGUUCGUUUUGAGAUUGAUUUUUGGUCAUUGACUCCUUGAUUUCGUGUGAUUUUGUGGCAUGUUAACUCCGGUACGAGUCGGCCAUGUGUGCACUCCCCACCCGUCGGAAAGCUUUUCAUCGCCGGAUUGAUGCCCGCGGAUAGAAGUCGUCGUAAGCUUUGGGGUUAUUGCUUGAGCUUGAGUGGGGUUUAAAGAGUUGUAAGAGGAUGGCAAUGGAUCUUUCAUUGGGUUUCUCAUCAUCUAAAAGGUUGCUCCUUAAUCGACCAAAAAAAAGGUUGUUCCUUUGCUAAUUCUCUCUUAAAGCUUGCUUGGAGUGGAUCUAUCUACUACAUUUGGCUAGAAAGGAAUGCAGAGUUGCAUAAUAAGAUUGCUUCCUAUCGAGAAAACCUCCAAGGGUUUUGAUACUGACAAAAUUAUCCCUUAUGAUGUGAUCGAUGCAAAUGUUGUUUCUACUAAGGUGACAUCAAUUGAUAAUCCGAUAUCAUUAAAUCUAUUCUAAGUGUUAAGUGAAAGGGCUCAAAAGACUCGAUGGACUUUAAGGGUGAACAAGUCAAGAGAACUAAAAAUUCAUGAGGACUUGGAGGAACUAAUAGGUGAACAGGUCUGUGGAAGAAUCAUGGAAGGUUGAUCGAAGCUUUCGCUCAUAUCAAGCUGAGAACAUCAUUAUUGCUAUCUAUAACGGCUAAAUUGAGUAUCUAAAAAAUCAUUCAAUGGUCAACUUGAAAAUUGACAACUAUGAAAGGGAUUAAUGCAAGCCAAAGUGGAUAUAAGAUGAGUUG
This is a long non-coding RNA of Syzygium oleosum, 1537 nucleotides long. RefSeq lists it as uncharacterized. NCBI's taxonomy places the organism in Eukaryota, Viridiplantae, Streptophyta, Magnoliopsida, Myrtales, Myrtaceae. The transcript is spliced from 2 exons. The record is from RefSeq and is a predicted model, not a curated record.